AACGAACGCUGGCGGCAUGCCUAACACAUGCAAGUCGAACGAGACCUUCGGGUCUAGUGGCGCACGGGUGCGUAACGCGUGGGAACCUGCCCUUAGGUUCGGAAUAACUCCCCGACAGGGGUGCUAAUACCGGAUAAUGUCUUCGGACCAAAGAUUUAUCGCCUUUGGAUGGGCCCGCGUUGGAUUAGCUAGUUGGUAGGGUAAAAGCCUACCAAGGCGACGAUCCAUAGCUGGUCUGAGAGGAUGAUCAGCCACACUGGGACUGAGACACGGCCCAGACUCCUACGGGAGGCAGCAGUGGGGAAUAGUGGACAAUGGGGGAAAGCCUGAUCCAGCAAGGCCGCGUGAGUGAUGAAGGCAUUAGGGUUGUAAAGCUCUUUUAACCGGGAUGAUAAUGACAGUACCGGGAGAAUAAGCUCCGGCUAACUCCGUG
Molecule: ribosomal RNA, 433 nt
Filed under: uncultured bacterium
Lineage: Bacteria
Description: partial 16S ribosomal RNA
Rfam family: Bacterial small subunit ribosomal RNA
Source: RNAcentral